Molecule: long non-coding RNA, 1904 nt
Filed under: Lynx pardinus (Iberian lynx)
Lineage: Eukaryota; Metazoa; Chordata; Mammalia; Carnivora; Felidae
Source: RNAcentral
CUGCUUUGGGGGACUCUCUUCGCAGAAGCACAGGAAGGAAGGACCACGUGGCUUUUCCCAGGCUGUGAAGGAUCCCAAUUACUGGGACACACGGUGGGAAAGCCCCGGUGUCCCUUAAACAAUGGAUAAGGAGGAAACAGGGACGGAAUGAAGUGGAAAGCUGUUCCUACGGAAGCCAUCAGUUAUGAGGUAACUUUUGACUCCCUCUGCAGCCAGCGUUUCCAGACCCAAGGGUGAAACUCAAAGUGGCCUCAGGUCCUACCCACGGAGAUGCUGCUGCUGACAUUUUUUUUUUUUUUUUUUUUAACUAAGAGAGAGAGUGAGAACGGGAGGGGAGGGGCAGAGGGAGAGAGAGAGAACCUUAAGCAGGCUCCGUGCUCAGCGUGGAGCCAGACACAGGGCUCGAUCCCACGAUCCUCAGAUCAAGACCUGAGCUGAAAUCAAGAGUUGGACGCUCAACCGACUGAGCUGCCUACGUGCCCCUGCUGACACUUUUUUAAGCCAGAAAAAAAGGUCAAAGCUGCCCUGGAACCCACCUGUGCUUCUAUGGAGGCACAGUGCUGUUUUAUACUCUGCUGGUCAAAGCGAAAUUAUUACUGUCGUCCUGCAUGUGUUUGCUAAAUAUUCUCCCCGUGAGAGAUGGACGGUGGUGAUGGCUGCACAACAAUGUGAACGUGGUCAAUGUCACCGAGCUGGAUGCUUCAGAUCGGCCAAGAUGGGUGAAUCUUGUUGUGUAUAUUUCACCAGAGUAAGAGAGAGAGAAGGAGAGAGACAGAGAGAGGCAGAGACAGAGAGAGAAAGAAAUAGGGGCGCCUGGGUGGCGCAGUCGGUUGGGCGUCCGACUUCAGCCAGGUCACGAUCUCGCGGUCCGUGAGUUCGAGCCCCUCGUCGGGCUCUGGGCUGAUGGCUCAGAGCCUGGAGCCUGUUUCCGAUUCUGUGUCUCCCUCUCUCUCUGCCCCUCCCCCGUUCAUGCUCUGUCUCUCUGUGUCCCCAAAAAAUAAAUAAACGUUGAGAGAAAGAAAUAGAAGCUGAGAGAGAGAGAGAGAGGCAGAGACAGAGGGAGGGGGGAGAGAGAAAGAGGGACAGGGAAACAGAGGGAGACAGAGAAAGACAGAGGGAGAGAGCAAGUACCGGCAGGCUUUGAAACAAGAGAGACCAGAACUGCAUGCCUUGGUCUAUCAGGCAGGGUUGUUGAGGGGUCUGGACCAGGCUCUGGCGACCAGUGAGCACUAAACACUGGUUAAUGCCGUGACUGAGCCUCAUUACCACACAGCGUUUUGGGCACCGCAGGUCAGAAAGCAGAAGCAACUUGCUCCAGUCCACAAGGCCAUCCGGCCACAGGGUCACAAAGAAUCCCCUAAGCCUGGUUCAGUCCUUACCUCGUGAAGUGACUACACACUAGGAACCGAGAUUCCAAACCACCUGCCCCCACAAGGGCUGUUUGGGCACAAAACUCAGCCCUGAGGAGGAGCCAUGUCUCCACUAGCGUCCCUCUUCCUCUCCCCUGCCAGGGCCCAGGGGCCAGGAGACAGAGGCAGGGGGAGGAGAGGACUACCAGGGGGAGUAUGCAGCAGACUGGGGUCUGGAACAAUAAGAAGAAAGGACUCCUCUCCGUUUCCAAACGGCACUUGCGAAGGGGAACGGAAGGCACACAACAAGGUCCUCACCGGAGCAGCGGAAAUCCGGCGGUUCUUGCCAGGUGUCGUAUUUUUUCGGUUGGCAUAGCGGGAGGCAUAGGUUCGGGGCGGCACCUGAGGGGGCAUGGUCUUGCUCCGGGCCACGGGUUUUCCGGGAGUGUCCUUGCUGAAGUCCAGGGGCCCCCGGCCCUCCUUCCAGCCCCUGGUGGUGUCACGCAACAUUUCUGCAUCGUAGGUUGACUUCAGGUUGAGCCGUGUAAUCGCAUC